CAGUUAAAGAGCAGAUUGUAGAAGAAAGAAACCCCUGGGUUAAACUGGUCUGUCUACUGCAUAAUGCUGAACUCUAACAUGUGUCCUCAGGGAAGGACCUGAUUGGUGUCCAGAACCUGCUGAAGAAGCACCAGGCUCUGCAGGCUGAGAUCACAGGUCAUGAACCUCGCUUCAAGGCUGUCACCCAGAAAGGAGAGACCAUGGUGGAGGAAGGUCACUUCGCUGGUGAGGAAGUGAAGACUAAACUGUGGGAGCUUCAUGGACGUUGGGACACGCUGAAGGCCAAGGCGUCCCAGAGGAGGCAGGACCUGGAGGACUCUCUGCAGGCCCAGCAGUACUUUGCGGAUGCUAAUGAGGCCGAGUCCUGGAUGAGGGAGAAGGAGCCCAUUGUUGGAAGUCCAGACUAAGGGAAAGAUGAGGACUUGGCCGAGGCUCUCCUGAAGAAGCACGAGGCCCUGAUGUCGGACCUGUCGGCUUACGGCAGCAGCAUCCAGGCCCUGAAGGAGCAGGCCCAGUCCUGCAGGCAACAAGAUAAUCAGCAGGUGCUUUUGUCCUGCAGGACCUGAAGGCCAACGAGUCCCGCCUGAGGGACAUCAACAAGGUGGCAUCUGAACUGGAGUCAGAAGGUCUGAUGGCUGAGGAGGCUCCUAUGGUUCAGGCUCAGGUGAGCGUCACCUGUCUGCAGCAGCUGGUCCCUCUCACUUCCUGGUUUAACUCUGCUCGUCUCUGUUUGUAGCAACAAGAACAUCUGGGUUCUGCUCCUGGAAAGGUGCAUGUUGUCCUCCGCCUCCACCAGAACCAGACGUGGUGUUUUUGUUACCACUCAUUUGUUUGUUUGUUUACAGGAUGAAGCCGACUCUAACACGGCGUCACCCUGGAAGGUGAGUUCAUUCAGCUGAUCAGAGGUCACCUCUGAUGGCCGCAGUCACGGCCGACCGUGCUGACAUCACACAGGAAUUCAGGUGACCCGGCAGGCACCAGGUGCUGGUGAGAGUGGGGACAUGUCAGCUGGUUGCCAUGGCUACAGUUAUCUUUAUGCAUCUGUAUGACUGCUGACUGGUGUGUUUCCUGUGACCUUUGACCUCAGACCGUACGGUUGGGCGUUCAGACGACGGCUAACUUUAAUUCCAUCAAGGUAAGAGGAAGCUCUUCUCUUCCUGUCUGAGCGAUCCGUCUCCAGGUUUCCUCGUCCGGCGUCCAGCCCGCUGGCGUCCACCUUCAUCUCACCUUCAUCUCAUCUCACUUCAUUUAUAGUGCAAUACUUUCACAUUAUCAUUUUCCCACACUUCUGUAUACCUGUAUUUUGUUGUUUUUCAAUAAAGAAUGACAAAUUAUUUAAGUUUGGUUUUUGUUGCACACAAAUAUAUAUCUGUAAAAAAUAUCUACAAAGCUAAUGUUUACAUAACAAGUAUGAUUGGGUUUUGCAAUAUGGCACUCAAGUUUAUUUUAGUAAGAUUUUCAAACCAAGUAAAGUUAGUAAAGAACACAUUUCUAUUGUCUGCUAAGAAACUGUUGGGAUUUAAAAUGGGCCUGUUGUACAAAUAACUUGUAAAUGAUUAUUCCUCACUUUUGUCUUAACCAAAGAAAUUCCAGUAAUUGAGCAAAACAUUUAUUUUUAACACUACAUUUUAUAAAACAGGGCGCAAAGUGUCGGCACAUGUAUGUAUGUCGAUGGUCAGCCCCAACCAAACCAGGAGACACAGACGUCAGGGAGGCCAAGGUUGUCUCUGCAGCUCUCUGGGCACCACGCCUCACGUAGCUGUCUCCAAUGAUCCAAAUGGCUAUGGAGGAAAAAAUAACAGGUUUGGCCUAGCUGUUUAAAGUACAAAACCAUACAUGAAGUGGUCAAGACAAGUACUUGGAACUUACACGCUGCGUUGUGUAGCUGACGUUGGAGACACACAGGCUGCCAUGGUGACCUUUUAACAGAUCUAAGAAAAAAAUGUAAUAAAAGAAUGAAACUUAAAAACUCCCAGACCUCAUGUCAUAUUUACUAAUCAGCUAUGGCUGAUUUGUUUGGAUCACAGUGAGUUACACUAAUUCUAAUAUAUUUUUAUUUCUAUUAUACAUACAUACUUUUUAACUGUUAUUUUCACAUGAUUGUUAUCAGGCUCUCUUGUUCUGGUUCUGAUGAUAACUCUGUGUCUUCCAGUAAGUUAUCUUGUGCUUACUUCAUCUCUAUAAUGUCUCUUUACUUUUGGUAAAUUGUACUGAGUCCAGAAUAAAGGCUAGUUGGCUGUACAAGAUACAAACAAGUAUUACGUUUUGGAAAUAUAUGAAACACCGCCAGCAUCUGUUAGAGCCUGUGGCGGGGUGCUGAGGGCCGGCUCCAGCCCAGGAAUGAGCUCUCCACGCCGGCCGGGAGGGUUUGAAACACCGCCAUCCUCUCCUCUGCUGGCUGUUCAUUCUGUUAUGGUUACCGGUGCUUGUGUUGCAAUGUGAAACGCUUGGUCUCAGAUUUUGUAAGAAAGAUAAUAAAAUGUCCCCCCAAAAUACGACUUAAAUAUAUUUUCUCUUCUUCAUGAUACAUUUAAUGGCUGGUGCGACUCAGGAGUGAUAGCGCCGAAAAAAACUGUACUGAAAACUUGCUCAAAGCAAAAUGUUUUCAUUACGGAAAUAAAUUAUAAACUUACCAAUUUAAAACUUUUUAAUACAGGUACUUCUCACGAACAGGCGCAGAAAACCUCCACCUAAACUCCGUGUGAGGGUCAGGUCGAUGGUUGUUCCAGUUAGCUCCGGUUGAAUUGAAGCUAGGUGGCUACAUCCGUUACCUCGGCUCCCACCUCCGCUUUAGCUUUGGGUAAGCCAGGGUUAGCUUCAGGUUAGCUCGUAGCUAGUUCGUCACUCGAUCCCAGCCUUACAGCCCCACCCUCAGCGCCUCCUCUCUUCCCUUUUAUGGAAUUGUCUGGGCUGGACGGAACCUGUGACACGGUCAAAAUGGCGGUGGUGGCCACCUCCCAUUAUGGACAAAAAACGUGUUAUUGGAGCCUAUGGAAUCUGUUUGUCCAGUAUGUACAGUCUAUGGUUCUGUCAGAGCUGUAGAGAGAGUUAUGACCUAUAUUUAUGUCGAUGGUUACGACACGGAAUGCGGGAGUCACGUGGUUCAUGUAGCUUCGAAUAGUUCCAAACAGCCCCGCUGCUGCAUUGACUGCAGUUCAUUUUCAGUGUUUCGGAAUGAGCUCUCCGGUAAGUUGAUGAAAUGUCAUCAUUUUGUUGCAUUGUGAAGCGUUAGCUAACCGCUUCGUACCAAAAUAAGCCAACGAUGAUAUUUUAUGUUGCCAGUUUUAGCUAGAUAACCUUUAAUGAGCUAACUGUGUGCAGCUUGUUGGUUGUGAGCAGGAGGACGAGCUGUAGACGGGUUUCUUUCAGUUUGUUUGAUUCUAUGUUUAAAAAAUAUUCCCCACAGUUUGAAAUAGGUUAUAAACUUUUUAUAUUAUUAGUUUUAUUUGGGAUUUUUUGUACAAUACGUUGCUGGUUGCUGUAUCAACAUGAACAUGCAUCAGAAAUGGAAGCACAAAUGGAGAGACCAAUAAUAAAGAAAAUGUGAUUGUGAAGACAAGUAAUUAUUUAAUAUUUUUCAGUUAAUAACGCUGACUGCAACGAACAGCUGAAGCAUGAGACAAACAGGAUUACGAACGUAAGAAGAUAUGUUGCUCUGUUUUGUGGACUCAAGUAAUAAGAAUAGAAUUAAGAUAUUUAGUCGAACAAUAACUUUUAAAAAUUAGACAUUUUCCAUAAAACUGCUAAUUUCCACUUGCUUUAUAAUAUUAGCUUUUGCAAUUUUGUUAUUGAGGAAUUACAAGAAAGAAGAAUAACAAUAACACAAUUAUCAAUGAAUAAAUGUCAAAGAGUUACUAAAACAAAGAUCUUAUUUAACCAUUAAAGGUUAAACUGUGUUGUGUGUUUUCAUAGUGGCUGAGCGGAGAGCUGACCAGAAACAACGGUGGUGGCAAAUCCCAGUUGGGUCUGUGAUGGAGUGAUGCACGCCUGGAGUGAUUGCCAUCUCAUCCACAGGUUCUAACAUCAGGCAGAGGGAUACUCAUGUCCUGAAGAAACCUGCAGCCUGUUGAACGCACUGAAAAACAGAGUUGUUUUCCAGCUGGGUUCUCUGGUUGCAUAGCCCGUUCCUUUCUCCUCCUGGCCCUGACGCCGGCUCCUCGUGGCUUCCUGGGAUGUCCCUCUCUCCUGAUACCAUCUCAUGUCCCCUCUCACUUUCCCUCAUCUUAUUUGCCUCAUUGCUGCUGCUGCUUUGCUCAUUCUCUGAAGUUAUAAUGGCA
Nothobranchius furzeri (turquoise killifish) is the source of this 4277-nucleotide non-coding RNA. The record is from RefSeq and is a predicted model, not a curated record. NCBI's taxonomy places the organism in Eukaryota, Metazoa, Chordata, Actinopteri, Cyprinodontiformes, Nothobranchiidae.